CACGGGGGGUGCAAGCGUUGUUCGGAAUCACUGGGCGUAAAGGGCGUGUAGGCGGUCAGGUAAGUGGGUUGUGAAAUGCCCCGGCUCACCCGGGGACCGGCAUCCCAUACUGCUUGGCUUGAGUACGGGAGAGGAUGUGGGAAUUCCUGGUGUAGCGGUGAAAUGCGUAGAUAUCAGGAGGAACACCGGUGGCGAAGGCGCACAUCUGGCCCGAUACUGACGCUGAGACGCGAAAGCUAGGGGAGCAAACGGG
RNAcentral lists this ribosomal RNA (253 nucleotides) under uncultured bacterium. Its description in RNAcentral is "partial 16S ribosomal RNA". It matches the Rfam family "Bacterial small subunit ribosomal RNA", at positions 524 to 776 of the family's 1533-position model. The record is from RNAcentral.